AGGGCUUAGCUGCUUGUGAGCAGGG
Molecule: microRNA, 25 nt
Filed under: Eptesicus fuscus (big brown bat)
Lineage: Eukaryota; Metazoa; Chordata; Mammalia; Chiroptera; Vespertilionidae
Description: efu-miR-27a
Gene: efu-miR-27a
Source: miRBase by way of RNAcentral